RNAcentral lists this long non-coding RNA (424 nucleotides) under Nicotiana benthamiana. RNAcentral's name for it is "long non-coding RNA (NBEN_LNC012586)". Lineage: Eukaryota; Viridiplantae; Streptophyta; Magnoliopsida; Solanales; Solanaceae. The record is from RNAcentral.
UAACCAAAAAAAUUUAUGGUAUUGGAGGAAGAAGACGACGAGCAUGGACUCGCGAUUGUGAAAUAGAAUUUUGGAAACACAGAUGCUCAAAAAUGUCAAAGCCUGAGAAGAUUCAGACAUUGAAGUCAGUUCUCGACCUCCUGAGAGAUGAUUCAAAAACUGCAGAGACGUUGGAGCAAGACGACGACGAGCAUGGACUCGCGAUUGUGAAGUAGAUUUUGGAAAUACAGAUGCUCAAAAAUGUCAAAGCCUGAGAAGAUUCAGACAUUGAAGUCAGUUCUCGACCUCCUGAGAGAUGAUUCAAAAACUGCAGAGACAAAGCAUGUGAAUGAAGGGGAGGGAAAGUCUUCCAUUCUAUCAAGGCUGUAUUUAGCAGAUAGUUCGGUUUUUCCAAGAAAGGAGGAUAUCAAGCCUGUCUCGUCCC